CAUAGAGGAACAGACAGUUUUAGCCUUAGGGGAUUAGAAGUGCUAACAUCAGAAUGACUUAAAGCUUGUCAUCAGUAUCUCUGCUCUGGGUAACAGUGGAACUGGCUCAGAGCUGGCCACUUUGAGUGACUGCUGGACUUUAAAGCCAAAGGGGACUUGAGAACUGGUUACAGUCUCUCUGGGUCGCCAGAGCAAAUGGCCUACUUGAAGCACAUGAGUCACUGGGAGGCACAGUUGCUCAACAGCCAGUUACUGAUGCAAUGACACAUAUGGACCUCAAAGCCAAAGACUAUCUUCUUUCUCGUCAUUUCUACAGCUUUGGAAGUAGCAUUUCCCCCAGGCAUAGCCACCCUAAUAAAAUUAUACACAGAAGCACACAUACGCUGUGGAAGUAUGCAUAUAUACAUGUGCACAUGGACACACGCAGCAUAUGCUGAUCUUU
This 442-nucleotide long non-coding RNA is filed under the name Cricetulus griseus (Chinese hamster). RNAcentral describes it as "lncRNA (ENSCGRG00015036351.1)". Lineage: Eukaryota; Metazoa; Chordata; Mammalia; Rodentia; Cricetidae. The record is from RNAcentral.